ACGACUCUCGGCAACGGAUAUCUCGGCUCUCGCAUCGAUGAAGAACGUAGCGAAAUGCGAUACCUGGUGUGAAUUGCAGAAUCCCGCAAACCAUCGAGUCUUUGAACGCAAGUUGCGCCCGAGGCCACUCGGCUGAGGGCACGCCUGCCUGGGCGUCACGC
Molecule: ribosomal RNA, 161 nt
Filed under: Hordeum murinum subsp. leporinum
Lineage: Eukaryota; Viridiplantae; Streptophyta; Magnoliopsida; Poales; Poaceae
Description: 5.8S ribosomal RNA
Rfam family: 5.8S ribosomal RNA
About the family: 5.8S ribosomal RNA (5.8S rRNA) is a component of the large subunit of the eukaryotic ribosome.
Source: RNAcentral